AGGGAGGGCACCUACCUAUAGGCAGCUGCUAUGAGAGAGUUUGUAUUUUUUCCAUAUUUACACCUUUCUCCUGCCCAGUGGUGUCAAUGGAGAUGGGACACGCUGCCCCAGGACACAUACAUACACGUGGAGUGAACUUACCCUAUAGCAGAGCCCAUGCACUGCAACACGACCAGGACAGACACACAAUCCCAGCAACAAAAUGAAAUUAAUUUCUGUUCAUGGGCAAUCCUGCUCUGUUUGGAACAAUAUUUCAAUACACGAGACAAAAUAAAAUGAGCAACUCUUCAGUUUUCAAGCUAAACAAAGCAGGGUAACAACUAACAGUAAUUCCAUUCCAACAGCAUAGAUAAUCUUUAAAAUGAAAGCGUAUAUUCCCUCUUCAGCUCAAAGAACACAUGUAAAAUUUCUUAUUCAUUCCUUUCAAAGCUACUGACUGCAAAAAUAUAUCACUCGAGUUACACUUUUUAGCCAGUUUGAUUUGCAAACGUUCUUCUUGCAACACGUAAUUCCAUGGAGGAACACCCUGUCUGUUGGGUUUGGUUUAACAACUAUUUUUUACCUUUAUUGCCUAUAGAUACCUUCCUAAUCACAAGUUGCACAGUGAAUUGAACGAGGGAGUUCGGUUUAUUUUUUUAAAAGGCAUUUGGCCAACUUGUAAGGCAUUUGCUGGUUGGCAGUUUCUUUAUCUGAUGUAUGUUUUUUCAUCUGCUAGUUAAAUCAUUAUUUAAGAAGAAACAAAGAUGUUGCUGGGUUGAACAAGGCCGAAACCAGGCUUUAGAGAAGUUGCCCCAGAAACAGGCAUGGAAAGAUCUCCUCCAUUGCCCCAUAUCCCUCUGAAGGCACAUGGAGGGCAUCCCAGGAGGAGGUUAUCAGUCAUCGGACAUCACCCACAGGACACAGAUGGAGCGAUCAGACUGAAAAGCCAAUGUUCCGUCCAGACAGAGAUCAACCAUUGCAUUUCUGUUUCUCCAGCAAAUCACGGGCAGUUUGGGCUUUUUGUGAAUGCACACAUGCACACAGACACACAUGGAUCUUGUACACCUUUUUUUUUUUUUCCCCUGCAAAAAUAACUUUGAAAGCAUCGCUGACGAAAAACCCUUUGUUACGUUUUCUUAUCUGCUAAAAAGCACCCGGCUCCUGCUUAACCAACAAAAAUCACUCUGCAACUUUUUCCUUCUUCUGUCCUCUGACCCCAGAGGUGCAGCAGCAGCUCUGCUGGGAUCGGUGUGCCCGCAGCUCCUGCAGCACGAACAAGGGUUAAGCAAACAUGUCGUGAAUGCCGUGCAGGCUGCAGAUACCUCAACAACAUUUCCAUCUCAGGCUCAGGUUAACAGUUCAGAAUAACAUUUUCCUACCCAAAGCUCAUAGCCUGAGGUUUUAAGCAUCUCUAAGUUAUCCUGUCUUGUGCUUCCCGAGAGUGAUGCGGCUGGCACUCCUGGUUCAUGCACAUGGGCAUGAGAGAACACCCGCAUAAUAACAGAUUGCUGCUCUCCUCUGUUCUUGAAAAGCCAGGGGAUGUUUGCAGCCUGACCUCACGGCACAGCCCUGUGUGUGCCACCAGGUGGACUUCAGGGUCUCGACCCACCCCCACUGUACCUAUAGCCACAUCCUUCAGUGCCACAUGUCCAUGGUUCUGGAACACCUCCAGGGAUGGUGACCCCCCCACUCCCUGGGCAGCUGUGCCGGAGUCUGACCACUCUUUUGGAGAAGUAUUUCCUAACAUCCAACCUGAACCUCCCUUGGUGCAACUUAAGGCCAGUAAGGAAAAUGCAACAAGCUCAUUGCUAAGACUGAAAAAUAAACUCCCUAUACAGAACGGUGCUGCAGAACAAAUGCAGUGCUUUCAACAAUGCAGUAAUGACAGCUCUGAAGAUUUCAUCCCUCUGUUUCCCAGCAGAUACAUCCCCCACCCCCACCCCACCAAGGCAGCAUUCACACAUCAGCAGCGCUGUCUCCUAUGCAGCGCAAACACUCCACAGCAAAAAAGCAGUGACCAAAGGCUGCAGAUGCCCUGAUGAGGCUGCAACCCGUUGGAGUCCAUGGCACAACACUGCACCCAGCCAGCAUCGCCCACCACCGUGCUCCUGCUGAUGCACCGCACCCAUCAGUCUGCACUCUGGGAAUGAAAAAUAACACAACUGGAUCGAGUGUCUCCACUCACUGCUCUCCCAGCUCCAUCUUCCAGCCCUGGUGUCCACUUCUCCCACAGUCCCAUCCACCUCUCCAGUUCCUGCCACUUCCAACACUUUCUUCUUUCUAGAGGGAGUUUUCUAGUUUUAUUUCUUUCUUUUGCAGCAGACCAACUCAUUGGCUUUUUCUCUUUAAAAUAAAAAAGAUCACUGCUUU
RNAcentral lists this long non-coding RNA (2349 nucleotides) under Gallus gallus (chicken). RNAcentral's name for it is "lncRNA (ENSGALG00010019678.1)". Lineage: Eukaryota; Metazoa; Chordata; Aves; Galliformes; Phasianidae. The record is from RNAcentral.